AACCAUUCUCACCUGCGGCUAGACCUGCGGAGGGAUCAUUACAGAGUUGCAAAACUCCCUAAACCAUUGUGAACGUUACCUAAACCGUUGCUUCGGCGGGCGGCCCGGGUCCUUCCCGGCGCCCCUCGGCCCUCGCGGGCGCCCGCCGGAGGUAAACCAAACUAUUGCAUUGUAUGGCCUCUCUGAGUCUUCUGUACUGAAUAAGUCAAAACUUUCAGCAAUGGAUCUCAGAUCGGAAGA
This 240-nucleotide unclassified non-coding RNA is filed under the name soil metagenome. RNAcentral describes it as "partial contains 5.8S ribosomal RNA, internal transcribed spacer 2, and large subunit ribosomal RNA". The record is from RNAcentral.